CCUACGGGAGGCAGCAGUGAGGAAUAUUGGUCAAUGGGCGGAAGCCUGAACCAGCCAAGUAGCGUGCAGGAUGACGGCCCUACGGGUUGUAAACUGCUUUUAUACGGGAAUAACGCGCCUUACGUGUAGGGCUUUGCAUGUACCGUAUGAAAAAGGACCGGCUAAUUCCGUGCCAGCAGCGGCGGUAAAACGGAAGGUCCGGGCGUUAUCCGGAUUUUUGGGGUUGAAAGGGGGCGUAGGCCGCAGGUCAAGCGUCCGGGGAAAUGUCCGGGCUCAACCCGGGACGUGCAGGGCGAACUGGCGUGCUUGAGUCCGCAGAAAGCAGGCGGAAUUCGUGGUGUAGCGGUGAAAUGCUUAGAUAUGACGAAGAACCCCGAUUGCGAAGGCAGCUUGCUGCAGCGGAACUGACGCUGAUGCUCGAAAGCGCGGGUAUCGAACAGGAUUAGAUACCCGAGUAGUC
This 460-nucleotide ribosomal RNA is filed under the name uncultured bacterium. RNAcentral describes it as "partial 16S ribosomal RNA". It matches the Rfam family "Bacterial small subunit ribosomal RNA", at positions 338 to 795 of the family's 1533-position model. The record is from RNAcentral.